GAUGAAGAACGCAGCGAAAUGCGAUAAGUAAUGUGAAUUGCAGAAUUCAGUGAAUCAUCGAAUCUUUGAACGCACAUUGCGCCCGCUGGUAUUCCGGCGGGCAUGCCUGUUCGAGCGUCAUUUCAACCCUCAAGCUCUCCGGAGUUUGGUGUUGGGGCGCCUGGGGCUUUUCGACCUCAGGGCCCUCAAGUCCAUCGGCGAGACCGCCAGGACACUGAGCGCAGUAGUAUUAUUUCGCUCGGUAGGAUCUUCCACGGCGGGUCGAUCUGGCCGCUAAACCCCCCAAUUCUCACCAAAGGUUGACCUCGGAUCAGGUAGGAAUACCCGCUGAACUUAAGCAUAUCAAUAAGCGGAGGA
RNAcentral lists this unclassified non-coding RNA (357 nucleotides) under soil metagenome. Its description in RNAcentral is "partial contains 5.8S ribosomal RNA, internal transcribed spacer 2, and large subunit ribosomal RNA". The stretch from base 1 to 120 matches the Rfam family "5.8S ribosomal RNA", at positions 35 to 154 of the family's 154-position model. The record is from RNAcentral.